CCUACGGGAGGCAGCAGUGGGGAAUAUUGCACAAUGGGGGAAACCCUGAUGCAGCGACGCCGCGUGGGCGAAGAAGUAUUUCGGUAUGUAAAGCCCUAUCAGCAGGGAAGAAGAAAUGACGGUACCUGAGUAAGAAGCACCGGCUAAAUACGUGCCAGCAGCCGCGGUAAUACGUAUGGUGCAAGCGUUAUCCGGAUUUACUGGGUGGAAAGGGAGGGCAGGCGGCACGGCAAGCCUGAUGUGAAAGCCCGCGGCCCAACCGCGGGACUGCAUUGGGAACUACCGGGCUGGAGUGCCGGAGAGGUAGGCGGAAUUCCUAGUGUAGCGGUGAAAUGCGUAGAUAUUAGGAGGAACACCAGUGGCGAAGGCGGCCUACUGGACGGUGACUGACGCUGAGGCUCGAAAGCGUGGGGAGCAAACAGGAUUAGAUACCCGGGUAGUC
RNAcentral lists this ribosomal RNA (442 nucleotides) under uncultured bacterium. RNAcentral's name for it is "partial 16S ribosomal RNA". It matches the Rfam family "Bacterial small subunit ribosomal RNA", at positions 338 to 795 of the family's 1533-position model. The record is from RNAcentral.